UUUUUUAGGUGACAACAAGUUUGAUCUGUAUCGCUUCAUAUGUGGCCUCUUUUCAAGCCAAACAAUGAUUUCAUUCCGAAUGCGCGGAAUGUCGCGGCGCAGAGACAGAGCGAAGGUAAAACAAACAGUAGUCCAAGAAAUUAUCAGCGGAAUUUGCUCUUUGGAUCUCAUUUGCAUAUGCAUAUUGGCUUUGUUUUGCGAUUCUCAUCGUCGUAAAAAUAUCGGAUGAUGACAGGUAUAUGUGUAUAUGUCCAUUGGAAUCGCGCGUUGUGCAACAACAAAUUUAUUCGCUCAAAAUUUUUCAUACCGUAUGCUUUAUUGUUUGACAACUGCUGUGUCAUCGUGAGUAUCAACGGAAGCGGAUACGUUGAUUCGUUGUCUGUGUAAACGGAGCUUUAGAAACCGCUGAAGAAACGUACCUUGGUUCUCGUCCGUCGUGUCUUUCAUCGUUUUUUGGCGCGAACAAAAAUUACUUUAAUCACAAAGAGAAGGUGCCUGAGA
Long non-coding RNA from Pseudomyrmex gracilis, 501 nucleotides. RefSeq lists it as uncharacterized. NCBI's taxonomy places the organism in Eukaryota, Metazoa, Arthropoda, Insecta, Hymenoptera, Formicidae. The record is from RefSeq and is a predicted model, not a curated record. The transcript has 3 exons.